GGCUCAGGAUGAACGCUAGCGGCAGGCUUAACACAUGCAAGUCGAGGGGCAGCGAGGGGUAGCAAUACCCGUCGGGCGACCGGCGGAAGGGUGCGUAACACGUGAGCAACCUGCCCGUCACAGGGGGAUAAUCGCUGGAAACGGCGUCUAAUACCCCAUAACAUGUUUCGUCACAUGGCGAGGCAUUGAAAACUCCGGUGGUGACGGAUGGGCUCGCGGGGCAUUAGGUAGACGGCGGGGUAACGGCCCACCGUGCCGACGAUGUCUAGGGGUUCUGAGAGGAAGAUCCCCCACACUGGGACUGAGACACGGCCCAGACUCCUACGGGAGGCAGCAGUGAGGAAUAUUGGACAAUGGAAGGAAUUCUGAUCCAGCCAUGCCGCGUGCGGGACUAAGGCCCUAGUGGGUACGUAAACCGUCUUUUGUUGGGGAGCAAUAAGGUCUACGAGUAGACCGAUGAGAGUACCUGGCGAAUAAGCAUCGGCUAACUCCGUGCC
This 497-nucleotide ribosomal RNA is filed under the name uncultured bacterium. RNAcentral's name for it is "bacterial SSU rRNA". It matches the Rfam family "Bacterial small subunit ribosomal RNA", at positions 21 to 509 of the family's 1533-position model. The record is from RNAcentral.